This 67-nucleotide transfer RNA is filed under the name Marmota monax (woodchuck). RNAcentral's name for it is "tRNA.Ala". The record is from RNAcentral. Lineage: Eukaryota; Metazoa; Chordata; Mammalia; Rodentia; Sciuridae.
GUUGUGGUUCAGCGGUAGAGCACUUGCCUAGCACAUGCAAGGCUCUGGGUUCGAUCCUCAGCACACA